AUACCUACCUGUCGGGGAGAUACUGUGAUUGUAAAGGUAGUUUUCCCAGCGCCAGACUUAUCCAUUGUACUACAGUUAUGCUGACCCUUGUGAUUACCCCAAAUGUGGGAAACUUGGCUGCAUAAUUUGUGAUAGUGGGGGACUGCAUUCAUGUUUCCCCUA
This is a small nuclear RNA of Nycticebus coucang (slow loris), 162 nucleotides long. RefSeq annotates it as U1 spliceosomal RNA. The transcript has a single exon. Lineage: Eukaryota; Metazoa; Chordata; Mammalia; Primates; Lorisidae. The record is from RefSeq and is a predicted model, not a curated record.